This 324-nucleotide ribosomal RNA is filed under the name uncultured eukaryote. RNAcentral describes it as "partial 18S ribosomal RNA". It matches the Rfam family "Eukaryotic small subunit ribosomal RNA", at positions 1470 to 1796 of the family's 1831-position model. The record is from RNAcentral.
CCCCUAGAUGUUCUGGGCCGCACGCGCGCUACACUGAUGCAUUCAACGAGUUUACCUUGGCCGAGAGGCCUGGGCAAUCUUUUAAACCUGCAUCGUGAUAGGGAUAGAUUAUUGCAAUUAUUAAUCUUGAACGAGGAAUUCCUAGUAAACGCAAAUCAUCAAUUUGCGUUGAUUACGUCCCUGCCCUUUGUACACACCGCCCGUCGCACCUACCGAUUGAAUGGUCCGGUGAAGCCUCGGGAUUGUGGCCAGUUCACUUUAUUGGGAGUUGGCUGCGAGAACUUGUCUAAACCUUAUCAUUUAGAGGAAGGUGAAGUCGUAACA